AUUCUCUCUAACAGGAGGACCCAGAGAAACAGCAGCUGUUCUGUAUUCUUCAGAAAACCAGCACCAGAACAUUUUCAACCCACACCACUGAAAACAUUUAGCUUGAUUAUCCUUUGGCUUACACCUAUGUAAAUUAGGAAUAACUCCAGGAAGGCAAUGGAGAUCUACUUGUGUAACUGAGAAACGGAUGCUCCUGGCAGAGAUAUGUUUUAGACGUAUCUACCAGUCCAGGACUUUUAGUGACAUUACAAUCAGCUUGAACAGUGGAACCCUAUAGACAACUAUCUACAAGAAUCGCAUGGAUCACCACACCUACCUUCACAGAUCCACUAAUCACCCUAACAACCUCAAGACAUCUGUUAUCUACAGCCAGGCACACAGAUACCACAGAAUAUGCUCUGAGAAAAAAAGUCUUAAAACUGCCUUCACCAAACAAGGACACUCCAUCAAAGAAGUAGAUUGCAUCAUGGAAUGGGCCACCCAAAUACCCUGAGAGAACCUGCUUCAAUAUGGAAAUAAUCUCCCCUCUGACUGCACACAGCUUGUUGUCACCUGUCACCCCACACUGGAACCCAUAAGGGGUACCAUUAAACAAUUACAACCCAUAUUUGAUGGGGAUCAUAUCCUGAAAGAAAAUUUUCCUAAGCCCCCUCUUCUGGCCUUCAACCAACUCCCCCAGCCUUGCCAAGCUCAUCAUCAGAAGCAAGCUCCCCACAGACCAGGACACACCAACUCAAAGCAUCACCAGACCCUGCCAGAACAACAGAUGUAAAACCUGCAGACAUAUUUCCACAGCUACAAUGAUCAAUACCCCCCACAACACACCUGUCAAGAUGUAUGGGUCCUACAUGUGCCUAUCACAACAUGGUGUACCUCAUCUAGUGCACUAAAUGACCCAAUAACAACUAUGUGGAUGAACAAGACAAUCACUUCUCUCUUGAAUGAAUUCACACAGAAAGACAAAAAACAAAACCACCAUGUCACCUGUGGGUGAACACUUUUUGCAAAGGAUCACUCUGUAUCUGACCUCUCAGUCCUCGCCCUCAAAGGAAACCUGCACAACACUUUCAAAAGAUAGGAACUUAAAUUCACAACUUUGUUAGACACUAAAAAUCAUGGACUGAACAGAGACACUGGAUUUAUGGCUUAGUACAACAAUCUAUAACCCACUAAACUCCCCUCCUCCUCCCUCCCCCAGCUUUUUUGCCCCUUUUCUCCUUUCCCCCCUGUGACUGGAUGGAUGUUAACAAGCCACUUCACCUUGAAUGGUCCCUUGAAAUACAUGUUAACUCCUUACGCUAAACAAUCUAUUCCACCUUGUAUUUAGCUGUGAUGCUCUGUGAUGCAAUUAGUGCCAGCUGGCUCAGACUCAUGGGGCUCGAGCUAAAAGGCAGUUUAAUUGGGGUAUAGAUGUUUGGACUCAGGCUGCCGCCUGAACUCUGGGACCCUUCCAGCUCGCAGGGUCCUACAACCUGGGCUCCAGCCUAAGCCUGAAUGUCUACACCGCAGUUAAACAGCCCCUUAGCCUGAGCCCCACGAGCCUGAGUCAGCUGGCCUGGGUUUUUAAUUGCAGUGUAGACAUAGCCUCCGUGUACCUUUCCCAGACCUGAAGAAGAACUCUGUGUAAGCUUGAAUACUUCUCUCUCUCACCAACAGAAGUAGGUCCAAUAAAAGAUAUUACCUC
Molecule: long non-coding RNA, 1684 nt
Organism: Chelonia mydas (Green sea turtle)
Lineage: Eukaryota; Metazoa; Chordata; Testudines; Cheloniidae
Exons: 3
Source: RefSeq, a predicted model, not a curated record